This 683-nucleotide ribosomal RNA is filed under the name uncultured bacterium. Its description in RNAcentral is "bacterial SSU rRNA". It matches the Rfam family "Bacterial small subunit ribosomal RNA", at positions 862 to 1532 of the family's 1533-position model. The record is from RNAcentral.
AAAUAUGCCGCCUGGGGAGUACAGUCGCAAGGCUGAAACUCAAAGGAAUUGACGGGGGCCCGCACAAGCGGUGGAGCAUGUGGUUCAAUUCGACGCAACGCGAAGAACCUUACCUGGGCUCGAACGGCUGGUUAACGGCGGUGGAAACAUCGCUACUCCGCAAGGGGGUCCAGUCGAGGUGCUGCAUGGCUGUCGUCAGCUCGUGUCGUGAGAUGUUGGGUUAAGUCCCGCAACGAGCGCAACCCUUGUCCUGUGUUGCCAUGUGGUUUCGUAAGAAGCCGCGGAACUCGCAGGAGACCGCCAGCGAUAAGCUGGAGGAAGGUGGGGAUGACGUCAAGUCCUCAUGGCCUUUAUGUCCAGGGCUACACACGUGCUACAAUGGCCGGUACAAAGCGCUGCAAGCCCGCGAGGGGGAGCCAAUCGCAAAAAACCGGUCUCAGUUCGGAUUGCAGGCUGCAACUCGCCUGCAUGAAGCUGGAAUCGCUAGUAAUGGCAGAUCAGCACGCUGCCGUGAAUACGUUCCCGGGCCUUGUACACACCGCCCGUCACAUCACGAAAGUGGAUUGUACUGGAAGUCUGCAGGCUGACCCGCAAGGGGGGCAGCGGCCCAAGGUAUGAUCCAUGAUUGGGGUGAAGUCGUAACAAGGUAGCCGUAGGAGAACCUGCGGCUGGAUCACCUCCUU